CAGCAGCCACGGUAAUACGUAGGGGGCAAGCGUUAUCCGGAAUUACUGAGCGUAAAGGGUGCGUAGGCGGCUAGUUAAGUCGAGGUUAAAAGGCAGUAGCUCAACUACUGUUGGGCCUUGAAACUAAUUAGCUUGAGUAUAGGAGAGGAAAGUGGAAUUCCCGGUGUAGCGGUGAAAUGCGUAGAUAUCGGGAGGAAUACCGGUGGCGAAGGCGACUUUCUGGACUAUAACUGACGCUGAGGCACGAAAGCGUGGGUAGCAAACAGGAUUAGAUACCCGCGUAGUCCCUGUCUCUUAUACA
This 301-nucleotide ribosomal RNA is filed under the name uncultured bacterium. RNAcentral's name for it is "partial 16S ribosomal RNA". It matches the Rfam family "Bacterial small subunit ribosomal RNA", at positions 509 to 808 of the family's 1533-position model. The record is from RNAcentral.